GGGGUGCUCGAGUGGCGAACGGGUGAGUAACACGUGAGUAACCUGCCCUUGACUUUGGGAUAACUUCAGGAAACUGGGGCUAAUACCGGAUAGGAGCUCCUGCUGCAUGGUGGGGGUUGGAAAGUUUCGGCGGUUGGGGAUGGACUCGCGGCUUAUCAGCUUGUUGGUGGGGUAGUGGCUUACCAAGGCUUUGACGGGUAGCCGGCCUAAGAGGGUGACCGGCCACAUUGGGACUGAGAUACGGCCCAG
This 249-nucleotide ribosomal RNA is filed under the name uncultured Actinomycetales bacterium. Its description in RNAcentral is "partial 16S ribosomal RNA". It matches the Rfam family "Bacterial small subunit ribosomal RNA", at positions 84 to 334 of the family's 1533-position model. The record is from RNAcentral. Lineage: Bacteria; Bacillati; Actinomycetota; Actinomycetes; Actinomycetales.